GGAAAGGUGGUAGAGUUGGUCGAUUGCACCGGUUUUGAAAACCGGCGUAGCUGCGAGGCUACCGAGGGUUCGAAUCCCUCCCUUUCCG
RNAcentral lists this transfer RNA (88 nucleotides) under Gloeotilopsis planctonica. RNAcentral's name for it is "tRNA-Ser". It matches the Rfam family "tRNA". From Rfam's summary of the family: Transfer RNA (tRNA) molecules are approximately 80 nucleotides in length. Their secondary structure includes four short double-helical elements and three loops (D, anti-codon, and T loops). Further hydrogen bonds mediate the characteristic L-shaped molecular structure. tRNAs have two regions of fundamental functional importance: the anti-codon, which is responsible for specific mRNA codon recognition, and the 3' end, to which the tRNAs corresponding amino acid is attached (by aminoacyl-tRNA synthetases). tRNAs cope with the degeneracy of the genetic code in two manners: having more than one tRNA (with a specific anti-codon) for a particular amino acid; and 'wobble' base-pairing, i.e. permitting non-standard base-pairing at the 3rd anti-codon position. RNAcentral also lists the same sequence under 1 other name. The record is from RNAcentral. Lineage: Eukaryota; Viridiplantae; Chlorophyta; Ulvophyceae; Ulotrichales; Ulotrichaceae.